This is a non-coding RNA of Musa acuminata subsp. malaccensis (wild Malaysian banana), 2359 nucleotides long. Lineage: Eukaryota; Viridiplantae; Streptophyta; Magnoliopsida; Zingiberales; Musaceae. The record is from RefSeq and is a predicted model, not a curated record.
CAAAGAUCAAGAAGUGUUUUCUAUGCAAUAAUUUCACCUGGCAUCUUCACUUGAGCUCAUGAGAUAUGCAAAAAGAUGGCACGAUUGAUAUAAGGGCUACUUUGGGUACUUUGUUUGUUUCCCUUUCUCGUUGUAACCCCUCUUUUCUGCCUCCAGAUUCAAUGGUUUUAUGUUUUUUUUUUUGCAGUACACUCUUUGACCUCUGGCCGAUUCAAUAUAGUUGGAAUAUUAAGGCUUGUUUUUGUUGUGCACUCUUUGAUGCAUAGUUAAGUGUUUGACAUAAAGUACAUGCUCUGUUUUCCAAAAAUGUUAUUUAUGAAUGACUUAGAACCAUGUUAUUUUCUCAACUCUUAAGACAUGCUACUGAUUUAUAUGCAAAUGCCAAACUUUACAAAUGGAUCUUAGUUCUUCCUUGCCAUUCUUAUUUGCAUGCAAUGAUUAUUACACAUAGCUGACACUCAUUUCUGUCCUUUAUCACAGAAACAGAACUCAUUAUGUUAUUCCUGGUUGAUGAUUAAUUAUGGUUAUAGAUUAAAGUGAGCUUUUUGAAUGAGCAGUCCUUUAUAUUGUAAUUUGUAAGUGGCUUUAGACUAAAUUUUAGUUUAUCUCUUUCUUUUAUAUGUGAAUGAUGAAUGCAUAUAAGGAAACAUGCAUAGUUAUUAAAAUGUCAAUCUAAGUGAUGAGCUAAACAUAAAAGGGUCUGAGAAUAAAUCAUCAACGUUUGACCUUUUAUAAAAAUGCACAAAUACACUGAGAUUUGGUUAUUGGUAGGUGGGUUAGCUGAUUGAAGGUCUUGAUUUUGUUUGAACAAUUACAUUUUGUUGUAUACUAAAUAUUAUAUAAUAAGUUAAUUACAUCCAUGAGAAAUCCAAUGAAAAUAAUGCAAGAUGUUGCAAAGGUUUUACAAAAUUCUAAGAUGAUAUCAGACAUCCUGAUUAAAAAACUAUAAAAUUAAAAGUAACUUGCUAACAGUAGCAUAUUUACCUAUGUUUUUCCAUCUUUUUAACAUAGUUAGAUGAAAAAGAGGAUGUGUGAGCAUAAUGUUCUGCGAUAUUUUAUUCGUUGUGGUUUAUGUGCUUUUCUCUCUCUCUCUCUCUCUCUUUUUUUUUCCUUGUAGUUAGUGCUUGUCUUGUAUGGCUGAAUAUCUCAUGUCAUAUUCGUCUUGUUUAUUUUGAUCAUGACAUCACAAGUAAGAGGAUAUAGACAUGUGAGCUGAUUUUGUUGUUGCAUGCAUAUUGUUAGUUGUUAUUGAAAUGACAUCUGUUACUUUGGAAGAUUUGAGAGCCCACUGCUCAUCUGCAAAGGAAUUAGGCAGGAGAAGGUUGGGUUCAUUGGUGAGAUAGUCCUGAGAUAGUAGUAGCUUGCAAUAAAUAAAGCAUCUGUGUGCUCUGCUGAUGCAAAAUAGUUGGAGUUUUUCAUUGGAUGACUAGUUUAUCCUCUACCGAGUGUGACAUCACCUAUCUGGCAAUAUCCUUUGUAAAUAGAAUCAGCAUAUGGCUUGAGCACCAAUGUGGAAUAUCUAGUCAUCGUCUGUGAAAGGAGUUGGUUCUGACUCUGAAUCCCCCUAAGAUGCAACACUUGUUUGGUACACAUGCUGCUUUUAGUUGAACUUGUUAUUUUUACUGUGGUUAGGUGCUGAUGUGACAGCCUUCAAGUAUCUCGGUUGACUGUAGAAGGGUGUAAUUCUGUCACCAGAUCCUGUAGCAUACGGUUUGGUGAUUGUAGUUGUUUUCAGUGGCUGCGUGUUGUAUGGUUGUGAAUGCCAUAAUACCAUCUGAUGUUGGGAGGUCAAACGAAAGAGUAUUCAGGAAGACAAUGCAUGUAGGAAUCAGCAACUCUGAGCAACCAAAACGUGCAAUGGUGGCUGUUGGACAACCUGUUGGCAACUUGUUUAUCAGCUAGGUAUUCUGGUAAUAUAUUGGCAUCCGAUCUCUUGAGAUGGCCCAGGCUAUACCACCAAGAAAGCCAGACUUGGAUUAACGUCCAUGGCAUGGACGAUGCGGCGGCUUUCUUCCUCGGGAGUCCUUACGAUGUUGCUUUACACGGUGGAGCUUCGUGCUGCUCCUGAUGAUGCAUUGCAUCAUCCUUGGUCGGAUUUGCCGGGCUUUUACAGGUAUAUCUUUCUUCUUGUCCUGCACGCUUUCUGUGGUUGGCAUCUGAGCUUGGGUCUCGGUUCAUUGAAUCCCUAACUUUUUUUAUUUUUAUCUCCACCACCACAGAUUGUCGUGUUUAGUUCCGCCAGAUGUAUUGAUUUAGAAUGGGACGCUUGUCGCUCCAGUCUCUCUCGAGACGGGCUCAUGCGUGGGCCCACGAGCACUACAAAUGAUAACAAUCUACUUGAAAUUUAACUUUUUUUUCC